GUUAGAACCAGAGCAAAAAUAAAUACAGGGGAGUAUGGGUGGGCACAGGCAGUAUUCACCACACCUGCUCAGCAGACCCUAAUGACAUACUAACCUGAAACCAGCAUCAGCAGGAUUUGGGUCCGUCUCAUGAGUCAUACCUAGGGACUUCCCAACAGUGAAGUUUUUGGGGCUCCUAGGAAGAAGAUGAGCUAGAGAGGUCGACCCAGGAUUGCUGAGUAUUAAAUCAAGACUGGAAAGCAGGUGCUUGCAAGUCUGGAGCUCUGUGCAAGCUCCCAAGAGCACAGCCAAGGCUGUCGCCUACCUCAGGGAGCUGCCAAGCGUUGGAGUCCCAGCCCCUGCCUCAGUUGGCAGUUUGAGAGCUUCUGCAAGUGCCCCAGAAGAGACCCUAUAAAGUGGGUUUUGUGUCUUCUUGGUCACAAGUGGGUAAUUUGGUCUCCUUUCACAACUCAGGUUUGCUUUUGUUUUUUUAAUUUGAAAUAACACCAUCCAGUUGGUGAAGCCUACAGGGAGAACUCUUUUAUUACUAUUUCUAAAUAUAAUGUGAAGAAACUGCUGACCCAGAGCUCUGCAACAGGAACAAAUUGUGCAGGGUCUUUUAAAGAAGAGGCUAGAUGGCCAUCUGAAGUUGAAGGAAGGGGGCCCUCCAGGAUGUGUUUUCUGGAUAAGCAUAAAACCUCAGCUCUGCUUUCUUCCUGAUACAACCGUCAUGUCAGAGGAAGAAUGGGCAUUGUUCAUGACCUGUUUGAACUCCGUAAUCCUGACUGUAAAGUAGAGCAUCUAGGCUCACAUUCAAGGCUCUUCUUAAAGCACCAUCUAAGUCCCCGCUGCAUCAGUUAAGGACACUGCAAGCAAGGGCUUUAUAUGUGCUGUCUCCGGAGGUUGAUGCCCUUCCACAUUGUUUGCUGGAGAAAUGGGAAAUAAGUUUCUCUUUUGCACACAUGCCUAGAAUCUAGCAGUGAAAGGCACAUGAUGUGUUCUCAGUCAUCAAUACUAUGUAUCUGAGUCUCAACUCCUUAAAUAGAAAUGAUAAUAUAUGUACAGCCUUUAAGCAUGCUAUAAGAAUACCAGAUUUUGUAUAUAAAGCAUUCAUCACAUGGCUUGGCAAAUUGUAGGCGAUUAAUUAAUGGUGUCUAUGAUAAUGUGCCUCAGAAAUAAAUAGUUGC
This 1166-nucleotide long non-coding RNA is filed under the name Mus pahari (shrew mouse). RNAcentral describes it as "RIKEN cDNA 4933404I11 gene (MGP_PahariEiJ_G0004072.1)". Lineage: Eukaryota; Metazoa; Chordata; Mammalia; Rodentia; Muridae. The record is from RNAcentral.